AUGAUUGUAAAACAUCCAAGAAUGAUAAUAAAACGCCAUGAAUACUUCAUAAAUUAUAGAUACGUUGGAGACGUAUUAUUCAUCCACGGUGUCUCCCUCCUGCCUCCACCAGCUACUGUUCAUCCACGGGGCUCCUGUUCAUCUAGCCUCCACCGGCUACUUUUCAACCACCCCUCCACGGGCUACUGUUCAUCCAGCCCUCCACGGGGUCCUGUUCAUCCACCCCCAACCGGCUCGAUCGGGGUCCUGUUCAUCCAGCGGCAACGACCUCUACUACCAUGGGGUCCUGUCCAUCCAACCCCCACAGGGAACUGUUCAUCCAACCCCCAACAACGCUCAUUGUUCAUCAAGAGGCAGAGGUUCGAUCGGCUUCAGUUAGCAGCAGUAGCGAAGGAAUCGCUCGAUCAGGUUCAGUUAACAGCUAGGGAUCGAUCGAUCGCUCGGGUUUAG
Molecule: ribosomal RNA, 450 nt
Filed under: Triticum aestivum (bread wheat)
Lineage: Eukaryota; Viridiplantae; Streptophyta; Magnoliopsida; Poales; Poaceae
Description: partial small subunit ribosomal RNA
Source: RNAcentral